Molecule: small RNA, 92 nt
Filed under: Aminobacter aminovorans
Lineage: Bacteria; Pseudomonadati; Pseudomonadota; Alphaproteobacteria; Hyphomicrobiales; Phyllobacteriaceae
Description: sRNA Atu_Ti1
Rfam family: Rhizobiales sRNA Atu_Ti1
Source: RNAcentral
GUCCAUAUUGCGGCGGACGAUAACCAGAAUGCCCCCAGGACGAUGGCCGCAGCUGGCCAGAAUCGCGAUGUCAUCAUCGCCAUGCCGGCGGC